Non-coding RNA from Myodes glareolus (Bank vole), 1149 nucleotides. The record is from RefSeq and is a predicted model, not a curated record. Lineage: Eukaryota; Metazoa; Chordata; Mammalia; Rodentia; Cricetidae.
AAGGAUUCUCAGCACUUGAGACCAGUUCAUCAAAAGGUCCGGGCACAAAUCAGGAGUAGCUACAAAACUGGACUCAAGGGAACUUGAAAAGUACAGUUCUGUGGGAGAGACCACCCGCCGGGCAUCAGUUGUGGACUCCUCCAUAACAGUGAAGGGCUGAUACUCGUUCGCCUGACACCUCAGGCUUUCUGAUACUCUGUCCAAUCCAACAGAGAAAACUCCAGCUCCGGAGCACUCCAAUUGCUAAAUGAGGAAAUGGGAAGAUCAGCCUUGACUCCUCCCGGAACAAACUGGAGUUGACAUCACUUCCGAAUUUGGCCAACCGCCAGGUUACCGGAAGUGACGUCGCCAGAGGUUGGUGGCCUGUGAUCUUCGCGAGAGAAAUGAUUACCGCACAAUGCUCGGUGUCGAAAAAAUUAAGGGGCUGCUGUCGCCUGGACUCGCCUCCGUCCGGGUCAGGAAUGACUUCCAAGGUUCAUGUAUAUCCUUGAGACGCAAACUUACCUUUCUGCCGCGUCCAGCGCCGGAGACCGGAAGUACUCUGGGUGGGUGGGUAUUCAUCCGGAAAUGGCAGAUCUGGGGCCACCCUAGAGACCAGGAUCGUGACUUAGAACUUUCAUGGCUUACUGACAGCCAGAAAAUCUGAAAAGAAGUGUAUGAAGUCCUCCGAUUUCUGUAUUCCUGCAGUGGAUUCUCGGUGAUUUGUAAUUAUCCUUCCCUCUUCGUCCUGUUAGUUAUGGUCAGUCAUUAAAUACACUCUGAAUUCCCGUUAGGUGCCAGAUACUGGGCUGAAAGAUGAGAGCUACAGCCACCGCUAGAUUUAAGGUCAUCCUUGUUCCUUCGCGUAUUCCGUGACGAUUCAUUGAUGUUUAUCACUCUUCUCCAUGAGCUACCAGAUACAGCUAAUUCAGCAAAUGAUUUUUGUUCCAUGAUCUUUGAACUCAAAAGUGCAAACUGCCUGUAAACAAAAAUGAGCCUGAGCCUUCUUCCUACCUGCUCUCGAUCGCACCUUGUGUCCACUAUGACCCAACCAUACCGCCUUCCCACAUUUAAAAUCAGCUAUUGACUGGCCUCCCCCCCCCCAAAAAAAAGUGCCCUUUUUUUUAACUGAUGGAAAAUAUUUCCUCAAACAUGUGUCCUUAAAACGUU